CGGGGUGUAGUUCAUCGGUAGAACGCUCGGUUCGGGACCGAGAGGCAGCGAGUUCAAUUCUCGCCACCCCGACCA
Molecule: transfer RNA, 75 nt
Filed under: Candidatus Berkelbacteria bacterium
Lineage: Bacteria; Candidatus Berkelbacteria
Description: tRNA-Pro
Rfam family: tRNA
About the family: Transfer RNA (tRNA) molecules are approximately 80 nucleotides in length. Their secondary structure includes four short double-helical elements and three loops (D, anti-codon, and T loops).
Source: RNAcentral